AAGCCUGAACAAAAAGCAGCAGCUGAACAGACGUCAGACAGGAGGAGACAGUGAAACCUCAGCACAGCUUCACACAGAUUCAAGCUUCAGUUCGACUCUUCACGUUCUGUUCAUUCUAUAGUCUGUUUGUUCAGUUCAUUUGGACCGAGUCAGAACCAGAGAACCAAGAUUUAAAUGAAAAUGGUGUCAUUUAAUCAGACAUUCGAAAUGUAACUGAACAAAACCUAAAGAAGAAACUAAGACACUCCUAUAAAACUAAUGACAAAUAAAAUAAAGAGACAUUAAAUAGAAAAUAACAAACUGGACCGUGGGAGAGAGGGAUGAGAGGCUUUGGUCCAGAGCUACUGAGGGAACAGAGAGGUGACAUGUCUAAUGUAGGAAACAGACUUUAUUAAUACCACAAUAGGGAAAUUCUGGGGGUUUUAGCAGCAAUUGAGAAUUUACAGGACAAAACAGAGGAAAAACAAACAGUGAUAUUUGUGCAAAAGAACGAGGCAUCAGGCGUAUUUACAUAUUGACAGUGGCAAACGAUAUGAAUGGUGGAGACCUGAGACACUGCACAACAACACAUUGUGUCACUGCAGUGCUGUGUUGUGUGAUGUCUGUGGGAGCAGUGACCUGCAGCAGCUCCUUCCUGCCUGUGGCUGUAACAGUGUGGUGCUGAAGGAGCUGCUCAGAGCCUCCGUGUGGUGCAGGGGUGGAGGUGUUCUCCAUGAUGGAUGCUAGUUCACCAGCAUCCUUCUGUCCUCCACCUCCUCCAUGGACACAGUGCAGCCCAGGACAGAGCUGCAGCAUAAAAUGCUUGCAUAAAAUAAUGUACUUCCUGUCACACAUCAACAAGGUGAAGGACCCACACGCAGCUUGCAUAAACUCAGGCUUGUGAAGGUUUAAUCAGGCUCGUGGUCAACAGUGAUAAUGACAACAGACAGGGAGUGAGCAAAGGCAGUGGAGAUCCAGACUGGGUUCAAUACACAAGGCAGAGUCAAAAGGCACCGAGUGGGAGCAGGACACGGUCAAAACAAGAAACAGACGCACAAACGGACUCACAGCUGAAUGCUGGAGAGAGACACGCAAACAUGAACUAACAAUCUGGCAGAGUGUGGUGAGGACUGGGGCCCGUUUCAAGAAGGAGGUUUUGUGGAAACUCUGAGUUUUUAACCCCGAAAUGAGGAAAACUCUGAGUUUUCGGUUUCAGAAAGCGGGGUUACUUAAACCCGUAAAGCGGGGUAAGUUUAAGCCCGUUUCAAGAAGCGAGGUAAUCGAAACUCAGAGUCAGUUACUAUGGCAACUGACUCUGAACCAAACCUGGUCACGAGCAGGUUUUAUUCGGGAAACCCAGAGUUUCCUUCGGUCUCCGCCCCUUUUUAAAGUGAACAGUGUUUAAAUACCUCAUUUAAUCGUUCAGUUCAUUCAUAGAUUUCACCUGUUUCCUUCGCGCAGAGACCAAAAUGUCCGUUUCUAGAGGAUCCUGUAGAUGAGGACGCUGUAUUAAUUCACACGACGUUGAAUUUACGCCGCGAGAGGAUUUUAACGCCACGAGUUAAUUUUCUGUCAUAUCGCCGUGCAUAUUUAUUUGAGCGGUACCGUUUUUCUCCAUAACGUAUAAUCGGUGGUCAGGGACACGAAACAGGAUCAACACAAGGUAGGCUAGACACAGAAACGGGAUGGAUGACAUACGACGAUCUGGCAACGACUGAUGUGACUGCUGGAAAUAUAUACACAGAUCAUAUGUGAUGCUGCACAUAUUAACACAAACGUGGAGGCAAAGUCUGACUCUGGUCGUGACUCAUGAAUAUAUCGUGAUUCAACCCUAAGUAACAGGCUGCACUGUGGUAAGUACAUGUAUGUCCUAUACACUUAUUUCAAUGCAUGCACUCACACUCACAGGAACACUUCUAUGCAGCACUAAAGUAAUGUGAACUUUCUUCUAGGAGAGAUUGACGGCUUUCUGCUGGAGAUAGGGGUUAAUGGCAGCCCACACUACUGACCCCUCACCCAGAACCUGAAGCAGAACCCCAGCAGCGCUUUAAUGUGGCCCUGCAGAACAAGAGCCCGGGUGGAAAUGACCAUAGGCCUGUUGAAAGCACAUCUGCAGUGUCUACGUCACCUCAGGGAAACACCUGAGAGGCCUGUGACAUUAAUGUGGCAUGUGUUGUUCUUCACAUUAUUGCAAUUAUUAGAGGGGAGUGUUGUGGAAAUCUUUGUUUAUAAGAAAUCUACAGGACAAUGUCAGUGUGAUGAACCAUCUCAAAGUUUACUCUCAUGUCGACACGGAGUGGAUCACAAUCAUAAUACCUCUAAGACGUAAGGCACAUCUCACUAUGUACAAAGUAUCCACUGAAGGCCUGAGGACACAAGACCUGUAUUUAUACCCUGUUACAAACCCCCACAUCAGCUGGUGACUAUUCUUUGAUAUACAUGAGUGCAGUAAAAAACCCCUUUACCUUCUUUAACUUUAACCAAAUGCUUGAUGACCCCCCAGGAACAACCCUCAGUCAGAGGCACAGCAUCUCAAGACAAACACAAAAUUUUCCACAGGAGCAACAGCCUGCCCUACAAAUACAAAGACCUGAGGAGACUCCUUCCAUCACAGUGAUCUGCAGAGUGGAUGGACAGUCAGAUGUGAUAUGCUGUAAUGUCUCAAUCAGCCAUCACCACCACCAAUAAAAGAAACUGAAUAAAUGCAAAUCAUAA
Molecule: long non-coding RNA, 2694 nt
Organism: Betta splendens (Siamese fighting fish)
Lineage: Eukaryota; Metazoa; Chordata; Actinopteri; Anabantiformes; Osphronemidae
Exons: 2
Source: RefSeq, a predicted model, not a curated record